Molecule: ribosomal RNA, 1028 nt
Filed under: uncultured Bacillus sp.
Lineage: Bacteria; Bacillati; Bacillota; Bacilli; Caryophanales; Bacillaceae
Description: bacterial SSU rRNA
Rfam family: Bacterial small subunit ribosomal RNA
Source: RNAcentral
CUUCCGCAAUGGACGAAAGUCUGACGGAGCAACGCCGCGUGAGUGAUGAAGGUUUUCGGAUCGCAAAACUCUGUUGUUAGGGAAGAACAAGUACCGGAGUAACUGCCGGUACCUUGACGGUACCUAACCAGAAAGCCACGGCUAACUACGUGCCAGCAGCCGCGGUAAUACGUAGGUGGCAAGCGUUGUCCGGAAUUAUUGGGCGUAAAGCGCGCGCAGGCGGUUCCUUAAGUCUGAUGUGAAAGCCCCCGGCUCAACCGGGGAGGGUCAUUGGAAACUGGGGAACUUGAGUGCAGAAGAGAAGAGUGGAAUUCCACGUGUAGCGGUGAAAUGCGUAGAGAUGUGGAGGAACACCAGUGGCGAAGGCGACUCUUUGGUCUGUAACUGACGCUGAGGCGCGAAAGCGUGGGGAGCAAACAGGAUUAGAUACCCUGGUAGUCCACGCCGUAAACGAUGAGUGCUAAGUGUUAGAGGGUUUCCGCCCUUUAGUGCUGCAGCAAACGCAUUAAGCACUCCGCCUGGGGAGUACGGCCGCAAGGCUGAAACUCAAAGGAAUUGACGGGGGCCCGCACAGGCGGUGGAGCAUGUGGUUUAAUUCGAAGCAACGCGAAGAACCUUACCAGGUCUUGACAUCUCCUGACAACCCUAGAGAUAGGGAGUUCCCCUUCGGGGGACAGGAUGACAGGUGGUGCAUGGUUGUCGUCAGCUUGUGUCGUGAGAUGUUGGGUUAAGUCCCGCAACGAGCGCAACCCUUGAUCUUAGUUGCCAGCAUUCAGUUGGGCACUCUAAGGUGACUGCCGGUGACAAACCGGAGGAAGGUGGGGAUGACGUCAAAUCAUCAUGCCCCUUAUGACCUGGGCUACACACGUGCUACAAUGGAUGGUACAAAGGGCUGCGAGACCGCGAGGUUAAGCGAAUCCCAUAAAACCAUUCUCAGUUCGGAUUGCAGGCUGCAACUCGCCUGCAUGAAGCCGGAAUCGCUAGUAAUUGCGGAUCGGCAUGCCGCGGUGAAUACGUUCCCGGGCCUU